Molecule: transfer RNA, 68 nt
Filed under: Coleoptera sp. ACP-2013
Lineage: Eukaryota; Metazoa; Arthropoda; Insecta; Coleoptera
Description: tRNA-Arg
Source: RNAcentral
UAAAUAAGAAGCAAAAAAAAAAUUGCAUUUAGUUUCGACCUAAAAAUAUGAUUUAUUAAUCCUUAUUU